CAAACGACUCUCGGCAACGGAUAUCUCGGCUCUCGCAUCGAUGAAGAACGUAGCGAAAUGCGAUACUUGGUGUGAAUUGCAGAAUCCCGUGAACCAUCGAGUCUUUGAACGCAAGUUGCGCCCGAAACCAUUAGGCGGAGGGCACGUCUGCCUGGGCGUCACGC
RNAcentral lists this ribosomal RNA (164 nucleotides) under Eryngium ciliatum. Its description in RNAcentral is "5.8S ribosomal RNA". It matches the Rfam family "5.8S ribosomal RNA". Rfam says of the family: 5.8S ribosomal RNA (5.8S rRNA) is a component of the large subunit of the eukaryotic ribosome. It is transcribed by RNA polymerase I as part of the 45S precursor that also contains 18S and 28S rRNA. Functionally, it is thought that 5.8S rRNA may be involved in ribosome translocation. Lineage: Eukaryota; Viridiplantae; Streptophyta; Magnoliopsida; Apiales; Apiaceae. The record is from RNAcentral.